This 253-nucleotide ribosomal RNA is filed under the name uncultured bacterium. Its description in RNAcentral is "partial 16S ribosomal RNA". It matches the Rfam family "Bacterial small subunit ribosomal RNA", at positions 524 to 776 of the family's 1533-position model. The record is from RNAcentral.
UACGAAGGGUGCAAGCGUUGUCCGGAAUCACUGGGCGUAAAGGGCGCGUAGGCGGCCCGGUAAGUAGGGGGUGAAAUCCUGCGGCUUAACCGCAGGGCUGCCUUCUAAACUGUCGGGCUCGAGCACGGUAGAGGCAGAUGGAAUUCCCGGUGUAGCGGUGGAAUGCGUAGAGAUCGGGAAGAACAUCAGUGGCGAAGGCGGUCUGCUGGGCCGUUGCUGACGCUGAGGCGCGACAGCGUGGGGAGCAAACAGG